CGGGGCAUAGUAUACCGGUAGUACGCACGCUUCGGGUGCGUGAAGAUUGGGUUCAAUUCCCAAUGCCCCGA
RNAcentral lists this transfer RNA (71 nucleotides) under Candidatus Nealsonbacteria bacterium CG_4_10_14_0_2_um_filter_40_15. RNAcentral's name for it is "tRNA-Pro". It matches the Rfam family "tRNA". From Rfam's summary of the family: Transfer RNA (tRNA) molecules are approximately 80 nucleotides in length. Their secondary structure includes four short double-helical elements and three loops (D, anti-codon, and T loops). Further hydrogen bonds mediate the characteristic L-shaped molecular structure. tRNAs have two regions of fundamental functional importance: the anti-codon, which is responsible for specific mRNA codon recognition, and the 3' end, to which the tRNAs corresponding amino acid is attached (by aminoacyl-tRNA synthetases). tRNAs cope with the degeneracy of the genetic code in two manners: having more than one tRNA (with a specific anti-codon) for a particular amino acid; and 'wobble' base-pairing, i.e. permitting non-standard base-pairing at the 3rd anti-codon position. The record is from RNAcentral. Lineage: Bacteria; Candidatus Nealsoniibacteriota.